RNAcentral lists this ribosomal RNA (474 nucleotides) under uncultured bacterium. Its description in RNAcentral is "bacterial SSU rRNA". It matches the Rfam family "Bacterial small subunit ribosomal RNA", at positions 43 to 524 of the family's 1533-position model. The record is from RNAcentral.
CAGGCCUAACACAUGCAAGUCGAACGGUGGCAGCAAUGUCAUAGUGGCGCACGGGUGCGUAACACGUAACUAACCUACCCAUCAUUGGGGGAUAGCCCGCCGAAAGGCGGAUUAAUACCGCAUAAGACUAUAGAACGGCAUCGUUUAGUAGUUAAAGAUUUAUUGAUGAUGGAUGGGGUUGCGGGUCAUUAGCUAGUUGGGUGGGUAACGGCUGCCCAAGGCGACGAUGACUAGGGGAGCUGAGAGGCUGGUCCCCCACACGGGCACUGAGAUACGGGCCCGACUCCUACGGGAGGCAGCAGUAGGGAAUAUUGGGCAAUGGGCGAGAGCCUGACCCAGCCAUGCCGCGUGCAGGAAGAAGGCUUUCUGAGUCGUAAACUGCUUUUGACAGGGAAGAAUAAGCUGGUCGUGACCAGUGAUGACGGUACCUGCAGAAUAAGCACCGGCUAACUCCGUGCCAGCAGCCGCGGUAAU